Molecule: long non-coding RNA, 345 nt
Organism: Zalophus californianus (California sea lion)
Lineage: Eukaryota; Metazoa; Chordata; Mammalia; Carnivora; Otariidae
Exons: 3
Source: RefSeq, a predicted model, not a curated record
AAAAGAAAAUGACUACCUGCAAGCUAAGGAGAGAGGCCUGAGAAGAAAACAAACCUGCUGACACCUUAAUCUUGGAUUUCUAGUCUCCAAAAUGUCUGAAGAUGUCUGGACCAUUUCUGAUAUCCUGAAGAUUACGAGACUAGUUAAAGCAACCUCAGCCUGGGCAUAAUGACCAUCCGUGGUCAGGGAACUCGGAGAGGAAUGUGUGCUUUAUGACAUCAGAGAUCUUUCCUAAGAAGAAACUCUUUCCAUAAGAAACUCUUAAAAACCAGAAUCACACUUCCUCUGCUCACCUUCCUGUUUCUGCAACUCUCGGCGCUGGGUCUACAGCGGCUGCUGCACCAG